RNAcentral lists this ribosomal RNA (960 nucleotides) under uncultured bacterium. Its description in RNAcentral is "bacterial SSU rRNA". It matches the Rfam family "Bacterial small subunit ribosomal RNA", at positions 8 to 963 of the family's 1533-position model. The record is from RNAcentral.
AGAGUUUGAUCCUGGCUCAGAUUGAACGCUGGCGGCAGGCCUAACACAUGCAAGUCGAGCGGUAGAGAGAAGCUUGCUUCUCUUGAGAGCGGCGGACGGGUGAGUAAUGCCUAGGAAUCUGCCUGGUAGUGGGGGAUAACGUUCGGAAACGGACGCUAAUACCGCAUACGUCCUACGGGAGAAAGCAGGGGACCUUCGGGCCUUGCGCUAUCAGAUGAGCCUAGGUCGGAUUAGCUAGUUGGUGAGGUAAUGGCUCACCAAGGCGACGAUCCGUAACUGGUCUGAGAGGAUGAUCAGUCACACUGGAACUGAGACACGGUCCAGACUCCUACGGGAGGCAGCAGUGGGGAAUAUUGGACAAUGGGCGAAAGCCUGAUCCAGCCAUGCCGCGUGUGUGAAGAAGGUCUUCGGAUUGUAAAGCACUUUAAGUUGGGAGGAAGGGCAGUUACCUAAUACGUGAUUGUUUUGACGUUACCGACAGAAUAAGCACCGGCUAACUCUGUGCCAGCAGCCGCGGUAAUACAGAGGGUGCAAGCGUUAAUCGGAAUUACUGGGCGUAAAGCGCGCGUAGGUGGUUUGUUAAGUUGGAUGUGAAAUCCCCGGGCUCAACCUGGGAACUGCAUUCAAAACUGACUGACUAGAGUAUGGUAGAGGGUGGUGGAAUUUCCUGUGUAGCGGUGAAAUGCGUAGAUAUAGGAAGGAACACCAGUGGCGAAGGCGACCACCUGGACUAAUACUGACACUGAGGUGCGAAAGCGUGGGGAGCAAACAGGAUUAGAUACCCUGGUAGUCCACGCCGUAAACGAUGUCAACUAGCCGUUGGAAGCCUUGAGCUUUUAGUGGCGCAGCUAACGCAUUAAGUUGACCGCCUGGGGAGUACGGCCGCAAGGUUAAAACUCAAAUGAAUUGACGGGGGCCCGCACAAGCGGUGCAGCAUGUGGUUUAAUUCGAAGCAACGCG